RNAcentral lists this long non-coding RNA (2905 nucleotides) under Lactuca sativa (garden lettuce). Its description in RNAcentral is "long non-coding RNA (LSAT_LNC001362)". The record is from RNAcentral. Lineage: Eukaryota; Viridiplantae; Streptophyta; Magnoliopsida; Asterales; Asteraceae.
UUCACACGCGUUUGCUUCUGCUCUCCCACCGUUCCCUCUGCCAAUCCUUUUCUUCCACUCAUCGUUUUCUUCCGCUGAAUAUCACCGCUGCUUUUAAUCAUCUCCUUAUGUCUCUCUCUAACCCUCGACUCGUCGAGGUCGAUUUCGAAUCUACCUCUCACCGCUUACUCUUCCCAAUUUUAUGCAUACAUCAUUGUUUGCCUCUCUAUAUCAGAAGAGAUCGACUUAGGGUUUAAUUUUGGACUUGAAGAAAGGUAUGGUUAAUUUACAUAUGGUUUCGAUUUUAUUUUUCAUUUCAUUUGGAUUUAUUUCUUCCCAUUGGAAGUGAUGUCAAGUUCCUAGAGCUUACUAUUAACUAGCUAGCUGAAGCUUUGCAUAAUUUACAUGUUUAUCCUUUUCUGUUGUUGUUGUUUUUCUGAACCCGAAGGAUGAGGUUGUUUGAAGACUCUCAAAGAGAAGUCAUAUAUUAUCAUAUUGGUAUAAAAAGUAACUACUUUUGUUGGUUUUUUUCUGUCAAUUGAUUCUGCUUUUGUUUCUUCACCAAAUUUGAUUAUCGGGUUGUUUUGUUGUUUAUCGAAUUUACAGACUUCCAUUAUUUAAGCACACAUGUCAGUUUAUAUAGUCACCCUAAUUAUGUUUUUCCCUUAAUUUGGUGCCUUUAUUUAUGUCAAUCCUGUUUACAAAUUUUUGCAGUUGUCUUGUUGGGGACAUUUGGUGCACAUGGGUAAAUGACACCUAGGUUCUGCGAAGAAGUGAAAAAAACCAACAAGGCAAACAAUCAGGCCAGCAACCCUUUUUUUGUCUUGAUUUUCAGAUUUGAAAUAAACUUUCAUGAUGCACGCCAAAUGCUCGAUAAAAUGCUUCAUUAAUGUUUUUUUUUCAAACUAUUAUUAAGGUUGUUGAGUUGAAGACUCGUUUGAAGAUUGCGUCAUUGGGCUCGGCUGAUAGUCCACUUAUUUUGUACUCCGGUAUUGGGCCUGUCCAACCGUGAGUUUGCUAGGUUUAUUAUAUAAAGAUAUGCUUGCAUGCAUAUUAGGUUAAGAAUUCAGAAGUAACGAUUACGAUAGUAUUGCAGAUUGAUUUUAUCGUUCUUGUAAACCUCCAACCCUCAACAGUUGAUGUUCUUGAUCGAGCUCUUCUGAGGGUUUUGUUUAUAAUCAUUCGACUCGUUUGAUUCAUCGUUGAGUUGUUCUUUAUUUUGCAUUCGUUCUAACUGUUUAAAUAUUUAUUCACCUGUUUAAGAUCUAAUCGAUAUUCAAGAUUAAGUUUUAAUCUCAUCAAAGGUAAGCUUAAUUUUGGGCUCACUAUCUGUUUAAUGAGUACUUUUUUGCUAUUUUUAUGAUCAUGAUGUUCAUGUUGAUCUAUGUGACAAAUGAGGCUAAAUAUUUGAUGAUCAGGUUAGUUCCCCCAUGGAAUUUGGUCCAGAGUAGUUAACAUGCCUCCUUCACCAUGCUUCUCUAAAUUAAAGAAUUUUUCAAUCAUAUCUAACUUCCAAUAAGCCUUUUGUUUACUUCAAUUUGUUGAACUCAUCAUUCUUACGUCCUUACUGCUGAAUUUGUUUUUGUUUCAGCCCAAUUUCUAUUCUAUUUUUUUUUGUGAAAUCUUUUCUUAUUUUCACUAUGAUUUAAUAGUUUUGUUUAGUAUAUUCUUAUGCUAAUUGGAUAUCUUAUAAAUCUUUUACACAUAAUAACUAAUAAUCAAUGGUUUUACGUUUUCAUCAACUGUUUGCAUUGUUAUUUACAUUUUCCAAAAGUUUUCACAUAUUCAUGUAUUGUUUGGUAAUUUUUUCAGAUAUGUAAGGUUAAAACUCCAGAUUUGACCAUCAGUCCUGUUUAUUAGGCUGAAAUUGGUGCAGUUGACUAUAAUAAGUUACCAUUUUUAAGUCAGUAUAUAUGUCUUACUUAUGAUUUUUUUAUUUGUUAUUAAUUGUGACAUGUCCAAACUACGAAAAGAAUGACAAUUCAACCUACACGUCCAUGGCUCGGUCUUCUGAGGUUCCAUGUUUCGGGUCAAACUCCCAUGUUUGCCUCCUGAUAAAGUUGUUGGUGGAAUAGAAAUACAUAUCAUUGUCACCUUAUAUUAUAUUUAAUCUCCGCAUUUUUUUUUGUUAUGAAACAAUAAGUGAAUGAAAAAGAAGAUAAAAUGGUGAAAUGACUUUUCUUAUGAGAUUAUGGUCUACAGGUCGACCCGUUAUCAAGAUCACCAAGUCAAACGUAAGUACACGUUAAAGCGAUGAAUCUUUGUUUAACUUUUGUUAAAAAGAGCAUGUGAAUAGGGAGGAAUAUGAGUAUAAUGAUGAGUAAUAUGUUUUACAUUGCAGUAAAUAAAUUAAGGAAAAAAAGAGAAUAGUAAUUUUCUUAAAGAAUCAAAAUGUCUAUUUUGUUCUGUUUAGGUUUAGUUUAAUGGUAUAUGAUUUUAGUGAUAAAUGGUUAACUGAGAAAACGAAUAUUUGGAGAUAUUAAUUUUGAUUAUAUUUUUAAAUUUAGGGAUCUUUUUUCUUAGCAUCCAAAGAUUGUUGAAGGUUAUUUAUUUUUGUUAGUUGUUUAUAAAAUAAACAUAUUUUGUUGUUUCCCUCAUAACUUAAUUUAUUAGAAAUUAGUUAAUCGGUUAACGAAAUCGAACUUAUGUUAAAAAAAUAUUGAAGCAAUGUAUUCAUUUAACUUGCUAAAACACAAGCUGGCUUAACCAUCCAAAAAUAAGUAAAUUGUUUUUUAUCUUUUUUUAUGUCGUAGGUUUGGCUCAUUGGUAGAUUUUUCCAUGUGUUAGGAAAGUUUGAUAACUUUGAUAACUUAUGAAACUCUAUUUACUUUGAUAACUUUAUAAAAUAUAAUUACUUUUUUCUUUUGGGUUGGCUUGGUGACCUAAGGCGAAGAUGCUUGGCUAUGAUGACAUUCAAAGGCACACA